GACGAACGCUGGCGGCGUGCCUAAUACAUGCAAGUUGAGCGAUGAAGAUUGGUGCUUGCACCAAUUUGAAGAGCAGCGAACGGGUGAGUAACGCGUGGGGAAUCUGCCUUUGAGCGGGGGACAACAUUUGGAAACGAAUGCUAAUACCGCAUAACAACUUUAAACAUAAGAUUUAAGUUUGAAAGAUGCAAUUGCAUCACUCAAAGAUGAUCCCGCGUUGUAUUAGCUAGUUGGUGAGGUAAAGGCUCACCAAGGCGAUGAUACAUAGCCGACCUGAGAGGGUGAUCGGCCACAUUGGGACUGAGACACGGCCCAAACUCCUACGGGAGGCAGCAGUAGGGAAUCUUCGGCAAUGGACGAAAGUCUGACCGAGCAACGCCGCGUGAGUGAAGAAGGUUUUCGGAUCGUAAAACUCUGUUGGUAGAGAAGAACGUUGGUGAGAGUGGAAAGCUCAUCAAGUGACGGUAACUACCCAGAAAGGGACGGCUAACUACGUG
This 497-nucleotide ribosomal RNA is filed under the name uncultured bacterium. RNAcentral describes it as "partial 16S ribosomal RNA". It matches the Rfam family "Bacterial small subunit ribosomal RNA", at positions 28 to 507 of the family's 1533-position model. The record is from RNAcentral.